AUCCCUGUGGCUCAGUUGGUAGAGCAUGGUGUUUGCAAUGCCAGCAUGGUGUGUGCAACGCCAGGGUUGUGGGUUCGAUUCCCACGGGGGGCC
Non-coding RNA from Salmo salar (Atlantic salmon), 93 nucleotides. The record is from Rfam. Lineage: Eukaryota; Metazoa; Chordata; Actinopteri; Salmoniformes; Salmonidae.